Molecule: ribosomal RNA, 460 nt
Filed under: uncultured bacterium
Lineage: Bacteria
Description: partial 16S ribosomal RNA
Rfam family: Bacterial small subunit ribosomal RNA
Source: RNAcentral
CCUACGGGUGGCAGCAGUGAGGAAUAUUUGUCAAUGGGCGUAAGCCUGAACCAGCCAAGUCGCGUGAGGGAUGAAGGUUCUAUGGAUCGUAAACCUCUUUUAUAAGGGAAUAAAGUGUGGGACGUGUCCUAUUUUGUAUGUCCCUUAUGAAUAAGGAUCGGCUAACUCCGUGCCAGCAGCCGCGGUAAUACGGAGGAUCCGAGCGUUAUCCGGAUUUAUUGGGUUUAACGGGUGCGUAGGCGGCCUUUUAAGUCAGCGGUGAAAGUCUGUGGCUCAACCAUAGAAUUGCCGUUGAAACUGGGGGGCUUGAGUAUGUGUGAGGCAGGCGGAAUGCGUGGUGUAGUGGUGAAAUGCUUAGAUAUCACGCAGAACCCCGAUUGCGAAGGCAGCCUGCCAAGCCAUGACUGACGCUGAUGCACGAAAGCGUGGGGAUCAAACAGGAUUAGAUACCCCAGUAGUC